UACAGAGGGUGCAAGCGUUAAUCGGAUUUACUGGGCGUAAAGAGCGCGCAGGCGGUCGUAUAAGUCGAAUGUGAAAGCCCCCGGCUCAACUGGGGGAGGGUCAUUCGAUACUGUUCGACUCGAAGGCAGGAGAGGGGAAGUGGAAUUCCGGGUGUAGUGGUGAAAUGCGUAGAUAUCCGGAGGAACACCAGUGCGAAGGCGACUUUCUGGCCUGUUCUUGACGCUGAGGCGCGAAAGCUAGGGGAGCAAACGGGG
This 255-nucleotide ribosomal RNA is filed under the name uncultured bacterium. RNAcentral describes it as "partial 16S ribosomal RNA". It matches the Rfam family "Bacterial small subunit ribosomal RNA", at positions 524 to 777 of the family's 1533-position model. The record is from RNAcentral.